AGUGGCGAACGGGUGAGUAACACGUAGGUAACCUACCCAUGUGCCCGGGAUAAUUUCUGGGAACGGAAACUAAAACCGGAUAGGUAAUAGAGAAGCAUUUCUGUAUUAUUAAAGAAGCCUCAAAGCUUUGAACAUGGAUGGACCUGCGGUGCAUUAGCUAGUUGGUAAGGUAACGGCCUACCAAGGCGACGAUGCAUAGCCGACCUGAGAGGGCGAACGGCCACAUUGGGACUGAGACACGGCCCAAACUCCUACGGGAGGCAGCAGUAGGGAAUAUUGGGCAAUGGAGGCAACUCUGACCCAGCCAUGCCGCGUGAAGGAAGACGGCCCUAUGGGUUGUAAACUUCUUUUAUCGUGGAGUAAACCCGGUCACGUGUGGCCGGUUGAGAGUACACGAGGAAUAAGUAUCGGCUAACUCCGUGCCAGCAGCCGCGGUAAUACGGAGGAUACGAGCGUUAUCCGGAUUUAUUGGGUUUAAAGGGUGCGCAGGCGGAUCGGUAAGUCAGGGGUGAAAAGUUGGGGCUCAACUCCAAUCGUGCCUUUGAUACUGCCGGACUAGAGUGCGAUAGGCGUGGCUGGAAUGUGAUGUGUAGCGGUGAAAUGCUUAGAUAUGUCACAGAACACCGAUCGAGAAGUCAGGUCACGAGCUCGCAACUGACGCUCAGGCACGAAAGCGUGGGGAUCAAACAGGCUUAGAUACCCUGGUAGUCCACGCUGUAAACGAUGAUCACUCGUUGUUGGGGGGCGACCCUCAGCGGCCAAGCGAAAGCAAUAAGUGAUCCACCUGGGGAGUACGAUCGCAAGGUUGAAACUCAAAGGAAUUGACGGGGGCCCGCACAAGCGGAGGAGCAUGUGGUUUAAUUCGAUGAUACGCGAGGAACCUUACCCGGGCUUGAACGUAAGACGAAUAUGCAGGAGACUGCAUAGCCUACGGGCGUCUUGCGAGGUGCUGCAUGGUUGUCGUCAGCUCGUGCCGUGAGGUGUUAGGUUAAGUCCUGCAACGAGCGCAACCCUUACCUCCAGUUACCAGCACGUCAAGGUGGGGACUCUGGAGGAACUGCCUACGCAAGUAGAGAGGAAGGUGGGGAUGACGUCAAAUCAGCACGGCCCUUAUGUCCGGGGCGACACACGUGUUACAAUGGCGGCCACAGAGGGAAGCUACCCGGCGACGGGAUGCGGAUCUCGAAAAGCCGUCCCAGUUCGGACUGGAGUCUGCAACCCGACUCCACGAAGUUGGAUUCGCUAGUAAUCGCGCAUCAGCCAUGGCGCGGUGAAUACGUUCCCGGGCCUUGUACUCACCGCCCGUCAAG
RNAcentral lists this ribosomal RNA (1310 nucleotides) under uncultured bacterium. Its description in RNAcentral is "bacterial SSU rRNA". It matches the Rfam family "Bacterial small subunit ribosomal RNA", at positions 94 to 1401 of the family's 1533-position model. The record is from RNAcentral.